UGAUUGGUGGCUCAGAGGGUAGAGUAUCUGUCUGCAAUGCAGGAGACCUGGGUUCAAUCCCUCGGUCAG
This 69-nucleotide transfer RNA is filed under the name Ovis aries (sheep). It matches the Rfam family "tRNA". From Rfam's summary of the family: Transfer RNA (tRNA) molecules are approximately 80 nucleotides in length. Their secondary structure includes four short double-helical elements and three loops (D, anti-codon, and T loops). The record is from Rfam by way of RNAcentral. Lineage: Eukaryota; Metazoa; Chordata; Mammalia; Artiodactyla; Bovidae.